GGGGGUGUAGCUCAGUUGGUUAGAGCGCCGGCCUGUCACGCCGGAGGUCGCGAGUUCGAGUCUCGUCACUCCCGCCA
This 77-nucleotide transfer RNA is filed under the name Hyphomicrobiales bacterium. RNAcentral describes it as "tRNA-Asp". It matches the Rfam family "tRNA". Rfam says of the family: Transfer RNA (tRNA) molecules are approximately 80 nucleotides in length. Their secondary structure includes four short double-helical elements and three loops (D, anti-codon, and T loops). RNAcentral also lists the same sequence under 4 other names. The record is from RNAcentral. Lineage: Bacteria; Pseudomonadati; Pseudomonadota; Alphaproteobacteria; Hyphomicrobiales.